RNAcentral lists this ribosomal RNA (486 nucleotides) under uncultured bacterium. RNAcentral describes it as "bacterial SSU rRNA". It matches the Rfam family "Bacterial small subunit ribosomal RNA", at positions 30 to 509 of the family's 1533-position model. The record is from RNAcentral.
AUUGAACGCUGGCGGCGUGCUUAACACAUGCAAGUCGAGCGGCAGCGCGGGAGCAAUCCUGGCGGCGAGCGGCGAACGGGUGAGUAAUGCUUCGGAAUCUGCCCUUCAGUGGGGAAUAACCAGUCGAAAGACUGGCUAAUACCGCAUACGAACUGAGGUUGAAAGCAGGGGAUCGCAAGACCUUGCGCUGAUGGAUGAGCCGAAGUCGGAUUAGCUUGUUGGUGGGGUAAUGGCCUACCAAGGCGACGAUCCGUAGCUGGUCUGAGAGGACGACCAGCCACACUGGGACUGAGACACGGCCCAGACUCCUACGGGAGGCAGCAGUGGGGAAUAUUGGACAAUGGGGGCAACCCUGAUCCAGCGACGCCGCGUGUGUGAAGAAGGCCUGCGGGUUGUAAAGCACUUUUAGUGGGGAGGAAGGUCUGCGACCUAACACGUCGUGGAAUUGACUUAACCCACAGAAAAAGCACCGGCUAACUCUGUGCC